Molecule: non-coding RNA, 755 nt
Organism: Drosophila melanogaster (fruit fly)
Lineage: Eukaryota; Metazoa; Arthropoda; Insecta; Diptera; Drosophilidae
Source: Ensembl
AGAAUUGGGCGUGGUUUUCGUAGUAGCACUUGUACAGCAGAUAGCUAGUGUCGCACUUGUCGGCUCCCUUGGUCGAGUCACACUUGGCCUGCACCUCCUUGACAUUGGCUUCGCCGGCGAUGGGACCUAGUUUGGCCAAAACCACGUCAGGUUUUAUCUGCCCAUUGGCCACCAGGCCGGUCUGCUCCAGGAAGCAGUUGGCGAAGCACUUUACCUUUGGAUCGGAGUCUGCAAAGUUUCCAGACCGCAGGGCAAUAGCUUGCUCCUUCGUGAUUCCCUCCUGUUUGACGCAGGCCUUGGCUCUCUGCUUUGCCUCAGCCUUUUGGGAAUCAGUUAGCCCCUGUUAAGAGGAACAAAUCUUUAUAGAACUUAUGGAAAUCAAGCAAAAGGACCUACCACGGCAGAUGCCAAAGAUAGAGCUGCAAGGGCGGCAAACACAAAGAAUACUUUCAUGAUGCUGAUCGUAAUCUGCUGUGUAGAAUCUUUUAGAAUAGAAACUGUUGGCUAAAUGUCUCGUCGAGUCAGCAUUUAUACAAUUUGCGAUGAUGGACUUUGGACUUUGUUUAGUGAUUCCCUUUCAAUCUACUUGGCUGCACUGAGAAACAACCUAGCCAUGCUGACUUGCGGGUUAUUUCUUGUUGUCAGGUUCUUACAUAUCAAUAUAUAAUUUCAGAUUUAAUUUGGGAAAAAUUAAGCUUCAGGUGGCUUUAAAGUAUAUUUUUAAUUAGCGUAAGCUGUCCUAGUUAAAAGGAAUA